CAACCAGGUGCCGAGAUGAGGAGAAGAUAUGGCGGACUGCAGUCCCUUAACCCCAUAAGGGCCGGGUCGUCUCACUCUGUAGUCGGCGCCGUAGACGUAUGAGGACGGAAUCUACCUGGCUCCUUCCUCACUCUUCACAGGAAGUUGUGUAGACCUCUCAUCAGAGUGGUGUUGUCUCCAGCUUCUCGGCUUCUCCCUCUUUCCUGACAGGAAGUUGUGUAGUCCUCUCAUUAGGGAGGAGACACGUCCUUCCCUCACUCUGCUGACUCACUGCUUUUGGGAGCCUGGCAGCCCUGCUCUGUAUGAUCAUCUCAAUGAUUAUUGGAGAUUUUCUGUACUCUACCACCAAAGACAAUAUCGUGAUAAUAAUGUAGAGUCUAUGGACAAUUCAGGGAAGUUUCUGGAAGAUUAUGGAAGUAGAGACCACCUACAGUCACC
Molecule: long non-coding RNA, 438 nt
Organism: Hyla sarda
Lineage: Eukaryota; Metazoa; Chordata; Amphibia; Anura; Hylidae
Exons: 4
Source: RefSeq, a predicted model, not a curated record